GCUGAGGCUAAAGUCACAUCUCGACACGGCUCUUGUCCUGGUGUGCUAGAGUCCUCGGAGAGAAUCUGCUGGUCCUGAUUCACUGGCGGGGGCUGUCAGUGCCCCCGCCAGUGCCUAGAUCAGUAACACAC
Molecule: small nucleolar RNA, 131 nt
Filed under: Microcebus murinus (gray mouse lemur)
Lineage: Eukaryota; Metazoa; Chordata; Mammalia; Primates; Cheirogaleidae
Description: Small nucleolar RNA SNORA3/SNORA45 family (ENSMICG00000047701.1)
Rfam family: Small nucleolar RNA SNORA3/SNORA45 family
About the family: The members of this family belong to the H/ACA class of snoRNAs which are thought to guide the sites of modification of uridines to pseudouridines. This family includes mouse snoMBI-28 and human homologues ACA3 (SNORA3) and ACA3-2 (SNORA45).
Source: Rfam by way of RNAcentral